This 491-nucleotide ribosomal RNA is filed under the name uncultured bacterium. RNAcentral describes it as "partial 16S ribosomal RNA". It matches the Rfam family "Bacterial small subunit ribosomal RNA", at positions 29 to 506 of the family's 1533-position model. The record is from RNAcentral.
AGUGAACGCUGGCGGUAGGCCUAACACAUGCAAGUCGAACGGCAGCACAGUAAGAGCUUGCUCGUACGGGUGGCGAGUGGCGGACGGGUGAGGAAUACAUCGGAAUCUACUUUUUCGUGGGGGAUAACGUAGGGAAACUUACGCUAAUACCGCAUACGACCUACGGGUGAAAGCAGGGGAUCUUCGGACCUUGCGCGAUUGAAUGAGCCGAUGUCGGAUUAGCUAGUUGGCGGGGUAAAGGCCCACCAAGGCGACGAUCCGUAGCUGGUCUGAGAGGAUGAUCAGCCACACUGGACCUGAGACACGGUCCAGACUCCUACGGGAGGCAGCAGUGGGGAAUAUUGGACAAUGGGCGCAAGCCUGAUCCAGCCAUACCGCGUGGGUGAAGAAGGCCUUCGGGUUGUAAAGCCCUUUUGUUGGGAAAGAAAAGCAGCAGGUUAAUACCCCGCUGUUCUGACGGUACCCAAAGAAUAAGCACCGGCUAACUUCGU